RNAcentral lists this ribosomal RNA (253 nucleotides) under uncultured bacterium. RNAcentral's name for it is "partial 16S ribosomal RNA". It matches the Rfam family "Bacterial small subunit ribosomal RNA", at positions 524 to 776 of the family's 1533-position model. The record is from RNAcentral.
UACGUAGGGGGCUAGCGUUGUCCGGAAUCAUUGGGCGUAAAGAGCUCGUAGGCGGUUUGUCGCGUCUGCUGUGAAAUCCCGAGGCUCAACCUCGGGCCUGCAGUGGGUACGGGCAGACUAGAGUGCGGUAGGGGAGAUUGGAAUUCCUGGUGUAGCGGUGGAAUGCGCAGAUAUCAGGAGGAACACCGAUGGCGAAGGCAGAUCUCUGGGCCGUAACUGACGCUGAGGAGCGAAAGCGUGGGGAGCGAACAGG